This 20-nucleotide unclassified non-coding RNA is filed under the name Chlamydomonas reinhardtii. RNAcentral's name for it is "small RNA Cre_0164". The record is from RNAcentral. Lineage: Eukaryota; Viridiplantae; Chlorophyta; Chlorophyceae; Chlamydomonadales; Chlamydomonadaceae.
AAUGAAACCUUUAUAUACGA